UGAAAACGUUGACCUUGUAGUAGUAUAAAUCUUUCGCCUUUUACUAAAGAUUUCCUUGGAGAGGAACGUUUAUUUGUCAGUUGCACUGUAGUUUUUGGAAUAUAACUAAUUUCCUUGUUGU
This is a small nuclear RNA of Chelonoidis abingdonii (Abingdon island giant tortoise), 121 nucleotides long. RefSeq annotates it as U5 spliceosomal RNA. NCBI's taxonomy places the organism in Eukaryota, Metazoa, Chordata, Testudines, Testudinidae. The record is from RefSeq and is a predicted model, not a curated record.